UACUUUUGACCAGGGCCCCUAUGGGGGGGGAACCCUAUUCCCUACAUAGUGCACUAGAUAGGGAAUAGGGAGCCAUUUGAAAUGAACCCCCAUCAACACACCCCUCUCAACACAGGGUUUAACUCCUCAAGUUAUCCUCGGAGAGCUGGACAGAGAGCAGGUAGGGAAAAAAAACACUCCCUCGUCAUACUAGUCUCCCACACUUUAAUUAAAGGUCUCCUCUUGUCCCCAACCAGAAGAACCACAGUAUCGACAACCGUUUAAAAUAUCAGCCUGCUUCCCUGUCCUCUUUCAAACUAUAGCAGCAGUAUUCAAUCUAGACGGAAUGUUACUGAACCCCCAACAACAAGAUGAAUGAAUAUGGGUCAUUCAACAAGUCUCAUGUCUGCUAGGAGCAAGACAGUGGAGCCCAUUGGACUUUCACAGUAAUAAUCACAACCAUAUUUUACAACUAAAAAUGUGUGUUGCUACACCAACGCAUGCAAAUAAAACAAUUCAACGGUCACAUGUAUGUCUCUGUGUUACAGGGUGUCUAGUCCAGGUGUGUCUAGUCCAGGUGUGUCUAGUCCAGGUGUGUCUCUGUGUUACAGUGUGUCUAGUCCAGGUGUGUCUAGUCCAGGUGUGUAUAGUCCAGGUGUGUCUAGUCCAGGUGUGUCUAGUCCAGGUGUGUCUCUGUGUUACAGUGUGUCUAGUCCAGGUGGGUCUAGUCCAGGUGUGUCUAGUCCAGGUGUGUCUCUGUGUUACAGUGUGUCUAGUCCAGGUGUGUCUAGUCCAGGUGUGUCU
This is a long non-coding RNA of Oncorhynchus tshawytscha (Chinook salmon), 783 nucleotides long. RefSeq lists it as uncharacterized. NCBI's taxonomy places the organism in Eukaryota, Metazoa, Chordata, Actinopteri, Salmoniformes, Salmonidae. The transcript has 4 exons. The record is from RefSeq and is a predicted model, not a curated record.